GGGAUCGUGGCUUAACGGGAGAGCACUCGGCUGGCGUCCGGGCGGUCCGGGUUCGAUUCCCGGCGAUUCCA
This 71-nucleotide transfer RNA is filed under the name Myxococcus llanfairpwllgwyngyllgogerychwyrndrobwllllantysiliogogogochensis. RNAcentral's name for it is "Myxococcus sp. AM401 tRNA-Ala". It matches the Rfam family "tRNA". Rfam says of the family: Transfer RNA (tRNA) molecules are approximately 80 nucleotides in length. Their secondary structure includes four short double-helical elements and three loops (D, anti-codon, and T loops). RNAcentral also lists the same sequence under 6 other names. Lineage: Bacteria; Pseudomonadati; Myxococcota; Myxococcia; Myxococcales; Myxococcaceae. The record is from RNAcentral.